CGGGUUGUAAAAAUUUAAACGUCACAAUAUUACAAUGGUAAGUAAUGUUAUAUAUAAAUAGCAACUGAAAGUAAAAGUGAAAGUCCAUUGUAAGGCAGCAACCAUUUGAUUUUCUAGGGGGGUAUGGAUUUUUUUUCUGGACAAACUUUUUUUUUCGCCUCCGGCAAAAACAAUCUAUUUUUUGGCGAGAAGUUGAAACAAUUUUUUACUUUUCAAUUUUAGCAUUACAUAUAGUGGCAGCUGAGGGUGAAACAAACAAUUUUUUUUCCUCAGGAUCAGAAACAAAUUAUUUUUUUCUCCCAAAACUGGAAACAAAAAACUUUUUUUUCCAAAAAAAUCCAUAGCCCCCCCCCCAGAAAUCGAAUGGUUGCUGCCUUAGUAUGUAAGUUAACUAUGAAAAGAAAUUAAAAUAAAGUGUUUUUGUUGUGAAAAUGUUUGUUAAAAUUAUUCUAUUUUAUUUAGAAUAAAAUAAAAGAUUUUCACAGAGAAAAAGCUCAAAAUGAAAGAGUUUUAUUAAAAAAAAUACAUUAAAUAUUAUCAACC
Molecule: long non-coding RNA, 543 nt
Filed under: Mytilus galloprovincialis (Mediterranean mussel)
Lineage: Eukaryota; Metazoa; Mollusca; Bivalvia; Mytilida; Mytilidae
Source: RNAcentral